This is a long non-coding RNA of Ornithorhynchus anatinus (platypus), 1292 nucleotides long. RefSeq lists it as uncharacterized. The transcript has 3 exons. NCBI's taxonomy places the organism in Eukaryota, Metazoa, Chordata, Mammalia, Monotremata, Ornithorhynchidae. The record is from RefSeq and is a predicted model, not a curated record.
UCUCUAUUUUCUUCACUGACUACUCAUCAUGCCAAAUGCUGGCAUUUGGCGCCCGAACAGGGACACAAGGAGGAAGGAGUGACUCAGUGCCUUACACCACGGAUCUCCACUGAAUCACGAAGGGAGAUCCCGAUCUGACCUCACCCAGAACCUUAACCUUAGAAGCUCAGAGGGAACUUAAGACUGUGGAAGAAACAAUUAGCAGUGCCACUUUAGAUCGAAUACAUGAACAAGAAGACAUCCAGGCUGAAACGUUUGAAAAACUAGUGUGGAUUCUUGAAAAGAAUGUCAGAGCAUGUUCCUCAAUUGCCCGAGAGGCUGAGCAGAAUGAGAUUCCAGAGGAAAAGGAAGAAACCCAGCAGAGCCACUCGAACUGAGAAGAUUCCAACGUGAGGGCAGAUAAAAGCACUCACAUCUCAGGCGAUGACGGUGGUAGAAAACACUAAACAAUUAAUGACACCUGAGAAUGUCUUUCUUGCCAUGUUGGCCUUUUUUUAUCGGUGUAAGUUCCCCCGUGCGAGAGAGAACAAUAUUGGGCAUACCUUCCCUAUCGGCCAUGGACAAGGCCUGUAACAUGGGAAGAUAGAGUGGGAGAAAUAUAUACCAAUAAUUCCAGCUUCAUGGGGAUAUAAUUAUUCUUUUCUGUCUGAUAAUAUAACUGCAGUAAUAAAUGUUAGCAUGCUAGCCACCCGUACUCCAAUAUGCUUUUAUAGAAAUGGCAAUAGCAAUUGUACCGGACCGUGUCUACAACUCAAAACAGAGAAAACUUGGGUUCGUGAUAAAGAAUUGGGAAAUAUCAUAGAAGGAAACAGUGCAUAUGUUUAUGUGGAAAAACUUACACCAAAAGGGGUUCCCACAAGGAACUUCACCCAGUAUCCCCGAAUACCUCUCUGUGCCUUUGCGAGUCAUGUUUGGCCCGGCUCUAGCAAUAAGUCAUUAAUACCUGAAAAACCUAUCUUCCCCUUAUGGGAAUUAUGUCACCUCUCUUACCCUGAAGAGAUACAAUUAAAUAGUCACACAGAGCCAACAAAAUUGUGGAAUUGGGGUGGACAUGACAAUUCGACUCAUCAGGCACCCUUGAAGGGUUACACGGGAAGUCUUCCUGAAGAGGUAUUACAAUCUCCCACUUUAGUAGAAUUUCGAGGACUAUGGAGGGCCUUUUCGACCUUAGAUAGAAUUGAUCAUACUUUGAAGCCCACGACCCACUAAACAUAGGCCCAGUAAAGAGCAAUUUGUCCUUCAUCACUGCAUGUGUAAGAACUCCUCAGGCGUUUAUAGUGGGUAAUAUAUCC